GACGAACGCUGGCGGCGUGCCUAAUACAUGCAAGUCGAACGAGAGCGACCGGUGCUUGCACUGGUCAAUCUAGUGGCGAACGGGUGAGUAACACGUGGGUAACCUGCCCAUCAGAGGGGGAUAACAUUCGGAAACGGAUGCUAAAACCGCAUAGGUCUUCGAACCGCAUGGUUUGAAGAGGAAAAGAGGCGCAAGCUUCUGCUGCUGGAUGGACCCGCGGUGCAUUAGCUAGUUGGUGAGGUAACGGCUCACCAAGGCCGUGAUGCAUAGCCGACCUGAGAGGGUGAUCGGCCACAUUGGGACUGAGACACGGCCCAAACUCCUACGGGAGGCAGCAGUAGGGAAUCUUCCGCAAUGGACGCAAGUCUGACGGAGCAACGCCGCGUGAGUGAAGAAGGUUUUCGGAUCGUAAAACUCUGUUGUUAGAGAAGAAUAAGUGCUAGAGUAACUGUUAGCGCCUUGACGGUAUCUAACCAGAAAGCCACGGCUAACUACGUG
RNAcentral lists this ribosomal RNA (498 nucleotides) under uncultured bacterium. RNAcentral describes it as "partial 16S ribosomal RNA". It matches the Rfam family "Bacterial small subunit ribosomal RNA", at positions 28 to 507 of the family's 1533-position model. The record is from RNAcentral.